UUUCCUGGGGGAGCCCGUUGUCCUCUUGCUUGUGGCAGAAUCGAACGAUCGGCAUAGAAUGAACGAUAUUUGCAAUUAUCGUCGAAGAACACAAUUGAAGCUAUUGUUCCUUUGUAAAUCCAGAAUAAAUCCGUUUGAACGAUGAAAUUUCAAUGUUAAAAAUAGACAUCGACGUUGAAAGAUGAAUGCAGAAGUAUUUGAGCGAUUUGACUUGGCUGGUUCAUGAGUAGACGCAACGAAGCUACAAAGCACCCCGACAGGACCUUAGACGCAAGGAUGUCGUUAGUAAGGCUCGUGCAAGUCGAAGACACCGUGUAGUUGAAUAAGACGGCGGAGGAAGGCGUAGCAAUAAAACCGGUUGCCAUAUCCCUCGAGCUGUUUUCCUCGUUCUUCUCCUGGGUACAAGCAACGAGAGGACACAUUCCCCGUGACAAUGAAGCCCAUCGACAGUUCCUCGUUUGUACCUUCUUCCGUAAACCGCCGAACGAUACAUUCUAUCCAAUUUUCAUCGUGAUUAUUUUUUUGAUGCAAUACGAAUGACGCC
This is a long non-coding RNA of Eufriesea mexicana, 544 nucleotides long. RefSeq lists it as uncharacterized. The transcript has 4 exons. NCBI's taxonomy places the organism in Eukaryota, Metazoa, Arthropoda, Insecta, Hymenoptera, Apidae. The record is from RefSeq and is a predicted model, not a curated record.